Small nucleolar RNA from Bubo bubo (Eurasian eagle-owl), 72 nucleotides. Its record names the gene SNORD63. It matches the Rfam family "Small nucleolar RNA SNORD63". From Rfam's summary of the family: snoRNA U63 is found in both humans and mice. U63 is a member of the C/D class of snoRNA which contain C (UGAUGA) and D (CUGA) box motifs. NCBI's taxonomy places the organism in Eukaryota, Metazoa, Chordata, Aves, Strigiformes, Strigidae. The record is from Ensembl.
GUGCUGUGAUGUUAACUGUCAACACAUCAUUCUGAAGAAGAAUUGUGUGGAGACUUUCUGUAACUGAGCACC